GGUGCUGCAUGGCUGUCGUCAGCUCGUGUCGUGAGAUGUUGGGUUAAGUCCCGCAACGAGCGCAACCCUUAUUGUUAGUUGCCAUCAUUUAGUUGGGCACUCUAGCGAGAUUGCCGGUGACAAACCGGAGGAAGGUGGGGAUGACGUCAAAUCAUCAUGCCCCUUAUGACCUGGGCUACACACGUGCUACAAUGGGAAGUACAACGAGUCGCUAGACCGCGAGGUUAUGCAAAUCUCUUAAAGCUUCUCUCAGUUCGGAUUGCAGGCUGCAACUCGCCUGCAUGAAGCCGGAAUCGCUAGUAAUCGCGGAUCAGCACGCCGCGGUGAAUACGUUCCCGGGUCUUGUACACAC
This 352-nucleotide ribosomal RNA is filed under the name uncultured bacterium. RNAcentral describes it as "bacterial SSU rRNA". It matches the Rfam family "Bacterial small subunit ribosomal RNA", at positions 1037 to 1390 of the family's 1533-position model. The record is from RNAcentral.